GUGGCGAAACUGUCCUCUGUGGCGAGACUGUCCUAUGACGUAUCAUCAUUCUAUAGCCAAUCAAGUCAUUCGAUAUAUUGCAACGAUUCCCACUAAACAGACUGGUAACGAAAUACCGUGGCAGUUUUGUCCUAAACAAAAAUGGCCGUACCAGGGGCUCUACCAGGGUAAUAUUGGGGCAAUGAAUGGAAUUAUAAAGUUUAUUUGUACAGCAGAGACUGAGAUUGUACUGUUCAAACCAAAUAACUCUAAACUGUCUUGGUGGUCCUGACUUUUAAGACUGUCAGCCUAUUUGCCAAUGGUUCACAGUGGAAUAUAAGGAUAAGCUAAAAAAACAAUAGAUUUAGGGAUUAAAAGUGAUUGAGAAGAC
Long non-coding RNA from Exaiptasia diaphana, 370 nucleotides. RefSeq lists it as uncharacterized. NCBI's taxonomy places the organism in Eukaryota, Metazoa, Cnidaria, Anthozoa, Actiniaria, Aiptasiidae. The transcript has 2 exons. The record is from RefSeq and is a predicted model, not a curated record.